AUUGAACGCUGGCGGAAUGCUUUACACAUGCAAGUCGAACGGCAGCACGGGGGCAACCCUGGUGGCGAGUGGCGAACGGGUGAGUAAUACAUCGGAACGUGCCCUGUCGUGGGGGAUAACGUAGCGAAAGUUACGCUAAUACCGCAUACGAUCUGAGGAUGAAAGCGGGGGACCUUCGGUCCUCGCGCGAUCGGAGCGGCCGAUGUCAGAUUAGGUAGUUGGUGGGGUAAAGGCCUACCAAGCCGACGAUCUGUAGCUGGUCUGAGAGGACGACCAGCCACACUGGGACUGAGACACGGCCCAGACUCCUACGGGAGGCAGCAGUGGGGAAUUUUGGACAAUGGGCGCAAGCCUGAUCCAGCCAUUCCGCGUGCAGGACGAAGGCCUUCGGGUUGUAAACUGCUUUUGUAUGGAACGAAAAGGCUCUGGCUAAUACCUGGGGCUCAUGACGGUACCGUAAGAAUAAGCACCGGCUAACUACGUG
RNAcentral lists this ribosomal RNA (484 nucleotides) under uncultured bacterium. RNAcentral's name for it is "partial 16S ribosomal RNA". It matches the Rfam family "Bacterial small subunit ribosomal RNA", at positions 30 to 507 of the family's 1533-position model. The record is from RNAcentral.